CAAAUUUCUUUCCAUUUAAGGCUUCAACAGCCUUAGCAGCAUCAUCAGCAUUCUCAAAAUUAACAAACCCAAAGCCCUUGGGUUUUCCAUCUGCAUCCCUCAUCACUACUGCACUAGUAAUAGUCCCGAACUCACCAAAAACAUUUUUUAACUCAUCAUCAGUUGUAGUGUCGGACAAAUUUUUCACAUACACGUUGUUGAAUUUUGUCAUGCCAGUUGUAGAUUCUCUUUCCUGUUUGCGAAGAAAAUGUCCAACAUACACUUGCUUAUCAUUCAUCAGCAUACCAUUUAACUUAUCUAUGGCACCUUGAGCAGAUUCUUCGUUGUCAAAUUGUACAAAACCAUAACCCUUUGACUGACCAUUAGAAUCAGUAGCUAUCUUGCAAGAAAGAAUAUUGCCAAAGCUUGAAAAGGUGUCGUGCAACGCUUUGUUGUCAAUUGACUUGUCCAAAUUCUGCAUAAAUAAUUCAAGCAAAUGCAUAAGAAAACUAUAAAGAUAACCAACACAAAUACCUAUUGCAGGUCCCUAUAAAUAAAUAGACGUGAAAAAGUGGAUUAAAACAGAAGUGAGCAUCAUUUAUUUGCCAACGUGUUAUAGAUCCAACUUAUAUACAUAAAGCAGUAACAAUGAUACCAAGACGUGCCCAGUAUAUGCCCCUACAAGUAUGACGGAGAAGCUAGCAGAUUUCAACAUAAAUGAACAUGAAAUGACAAAUCACAUUGAACAAGAUCAAGGUUCUAAUUAUAAUACCUUAAUAAAUAUAUUUGCUGAUCCACUCUUACGAAGAGUAGGAUCCCUAUGAGAAUACAUCACCCUAAUGGACUUCCCAUUGACGGGAGUGAAGUUCAACAUCUCCAUUGCCCUUGCAGCUGCAAAAUAAUAGAGAAAGAAUUAGAACAAAGAACCUCUGGAACAAAUAGCAAUUUGGUUAAUUGAAAAUACAGGCCAUAUCACAUCAUUUCAAGUUAACAAGAAUAUUAAACAUAACUAGCUGCAUCAAAACUAUGCAGCACCCUUGUUCAGACACAAAAAUUAGUAAAUGUACAAAUGUAACACCAUCAUCUACACUUGAAUUUCCAAAACUACCUCAUCACGAUGACUUAAACAUACUUAUGAUUAACAUCCUACAAGCAUAACCUAAGUUGCUCGGACUAUUCAAAUAUGUUGCCGUGCCCGUGCAGACUAUUUUUGGACAGGAACCUGAUGACAAUUUUGACGAGUCCGAGCAACACAGAGCAUAAUCACAUGAGUUAAAUUUUUUUGGUUUGAAACUAUUUACUUCACCAGCACAAGCAAAAGCCUGGAAAGCAAAUAGCCAUGGCCUAUGUCGCUCGGUCUCUUCAAGUAUGUCAAUGGGUGUGUAUCAGAUUCUCCAAAAGCAGUGUACUUUUGGAGAGUCUGACACAGGUGCAGCAUCGAAAGUGAGCCCGCUCAACUUAUACCAUGGUUUCUAGUUUGAUAGAUUUCUGCAGAAAUUAAUGAAAAGUCGUAUACGCAGCAACUGAAAAUGUGCAAGACUAUCUCACACUCAAAUUUCAGAGACAAUUGCAAGCUCACUCCCAUUGAGUACCAAGAUUAUCGACCUUCACAAAUGCACAAUUUCAAGUACAUUGGACACCACUCUACUGCUAGGGUGUCAGAUCUAAUAAUGUAAUCCCUCCGCCCAUUUGAGUUGUACAGAUUACUUAAAAGCAGUUGUCCAAAUUACUUGUCAAUUUACAAGUCAAGACAGAACAAAUUGCAUUUUUCCCAUUUUACCCUUACAAUUCUUCACGAAGUGUUAACAAGUUCGUAAAAUUCCAAAAAAGCUUCAUAAGGCGUAAAUUAGUAAAAACACCCUUCUUACUUAUCAUCUCUUAAUUAGCGUGUAAAAGGAAAAGUGGAUUAUGAAGCGGACGGAGUACUACAAACGGCGAAAGGCCAAUUUUUUCCCCAGAAACCCAUGACAGGUAAUUGAGCAUCUCCAAUCACGUCAAAAAUUAGUAAUCUAACCCAAUACAAGACAAAUAUUUUAUUCUUCAGAGGUAAAGUACAGCCACUCUUCUCCCUUCUAACUUAUGAUUUCUUAUUCAUGCGUGUAAACGGAAAAGUAGACAGCUACCAUGGGACAGGGGGAGUACUAAAAACAGUUCCAGAUCCCCCCCUCAAAUAAAAAAACACAUUCCAGGUAAUUAAAUAAACUUCUAAUCACAUCCAAAAUUAGUAAUUUCACAGAAUGUGGGGCAGUAGUUUUAUUAAUCCAAUGGACCAUUUUGCUUUUGAAAUUAAUUAAAGUUCUUAUUUCUUCUAGAUAAGAAAUCAUAAUAUUUAAUACUUUUAAAUUAAUUAAAAUUUUACCUUGUAUAAAAAGAACUUUUACAAAUAAAGACUAUUAUACAUGCAAAUAACACUAUCAAAAAUAUCAAAUUUCAUAAAAAAAAUUUAAAAAUGAACAGUACUAACCAUCCUGAGGACUACUGUAGUUAACAUAUCCAUAACCAAGAGAUCUCCUCGUACUAAGAUCUCUACAAACCCUAACCGAAACCACCUGUCCCACUUGAUUAAACAGAUCAUAAAGCUGCGAAUCCGUCACAUUAAAAUCCAAAUCCCCAACAUACAACGACGUCGAAGUAAACUGACUCGCUCCUCCUCCACCUUGUACCGCCGCCGCAGCACCACCAGUUACCGCCGCCGCAGGAGCAACCGCCGCCACUCCAUUUCCUCCGGUCACUGGACUCUGAUGUUGUACCUGAAUCUGCGCCAUAUUGGUUGAAUAACCUUCUAGAACCUUCCGGAACUAAUUUUUUUCCUUUUUUUUUUUUGAGUUGGAGUGAUUAGCUCUACUAUAAGGAACCCUAGAAAGAGUGAAAUGGAGGAAAAAGUAAGCGAAAAUGUAGGGAUUUUUUGGGGAUUUUUGAAGAUGUAAAAUAGUAUAAAGGGUAAAAUGGAGAUAAAGAGAAAAUAUGGUCGGAGAUCCGAGAGAAGCUGAAGAGAGAGAGAGAGAGAGAGAGAGAGGAGAGAGAAAUUUUUCGAUUUUUUAGGGUUGAGGAGGGCAGAGAAGACUGCACCGCAACAAAGGAGAAAUUUGGAGAAAAGGGAGGUUUAUAUAUAUCGGCGAUUUUCAGAAAACCCUAAUUUCGAAUUAAUCACAGCCGUUGGAUUUCAUGAUCAAAGGAACUUGUCGAUUUUAUUACGGACCGGGAGGUCUUGGAAACUAGACCGGUUUGAGAUUAAUGACGAGAAUGACCGGCUUUUGUUGCUUACGAGUCGAGGGUUGUUUGAUUAGUGUAUUAGGGAAAAAAAAAAAAAACACAAAUUUCAAUAGUUUUGAGUUUAAUUAUAGAAAAUUUUGAUAUUUUAUAUAAUUAUUAAAAAUUUCAAUUUGGACAUGUCAAGAUAUAUAGUAGCUUCCGACACAUCAAUGAAGAUACAUUUCUUUUUUUAAAGAUAUAUAAUUAGUUUUCGAUAUUUUUUUUUACUUUGAAUCUGUUGAGAUGCAUAAUUAGCUCUCAAUACAUUUAGCGAAUACACAUAAUUAUUUGAAAUGUUUGUAAUUAUUUGAUAAUGAAAUUUGUGUAAAUAUAAUCAAUAUAUAUAUAAAGGAGGAUUAUAGAUAUGCCUAUGUGGCACCUCUCUUUGGCCAAAGAUUCUAUUUAUCUUUUUUCUCAUUUUUUUAGAGUUCUUCUUUCAUUUUUUUCAAUUAUUUUAUUUUUAAAAUCAUUUUCAUAACUCACAUCUCUUUAUGUUCAUAAUAAAUUACACUCUUAAUUAAUAUUAAUAAAAUCCAUAACUCUAAAACCUUUUAUAUUCAUAACCUCCAAUUAUUUAAUUUUGCAUUAAAAAAUCUUAUGACAAUUAUUUCUUUAAAUAGCGUGAAACAAUGACAAAUGUCUCUUGAAAAAGUCUAACGAUAAUUGUUUCUUAUAAGGUAUGUGCAUUCUGAAAGCCAUACCUCUAAGCUUUAUUUAUUUUUUAGAGUAGAUUUCUUUUAUGCUAUGCAUAGUCUAUUAAUAAAAUUCGUAUAUUUUUAUAUUUUUUUAAGAGGUAUGUAUUACUUUAUUUGAACAAUUUUCUUUUAUGUUAUGUGCCUGAUAAUUAAUUUUUUGUAAUCUUGUAUUUCUCUUUAUCUUAAUCUCAUUAAAUUUUUUAUUGUAAAUGAAAAGAAGAUUACUAUCAUGACAGUUUGUUUUGUCCUUAUCUCACCGCGGGUAUGAGACAUAGCAUAUAGCAACCAAAAAAAAAGUCUCACCGGCCAAGAUAUAGUUCAAAGUGCAAUAUUUUUAUAUGUUCGAUUUAUUAAAUUUCAUAUCCAACUGCUUUUAGCACUUUUAGUUAACAAUUUAGUUGUCCUUUUUUUUUGUUUCAUGCAACACUUAGUUUUUUUUUUACUCUUUUAAGGCUCGAUUGACAUAUAAAUGAAGUAGGAUAUUGAGAUUACAAGAAUCUAACUAUUACUGUUUAAAAUUCUUUUGAGAGAAAUUAUAUUUAUAUGUGUGAUAGUUCUUCUUUCCUCUUCAAUUCACAAUAUAACAUUUCAAAAGUUUAUAUUAAUUUAGUUAACUAUUUUUUUGAUUUUUUUUCGUUGGUGAUGUCAACUUAUUAUGUGUGUGUCUAGACCAGAAUGUUUAUUUUCUAAAGUAAAAGCAAAGGAAUGAGGCAAACAUAUACGUGUGCUACUUAAGAAAGUAUCUAUGGAUCCUUCCGCAAUUAUGUACAUCAAUUUUAGUAAAUCUUUUGAUAAAAUAAGAGAAUAUAACAUUAGUUUAUAAUUUUUAAAUGACAUUUUAAUUCAUAAGAAAGUUGUUUAUUGAUUCGUAAAAUUGUAGUUUUUGAUUUUUCACAUUUUAUAGUUUAAAGUUAAAUGAAAAGGAUAAAAUAAGAUAAAAAAAAUAUGAGAUUCAUAUAAUUAGAUUUGUGUUAUAUAUAUAAAUAAUAAAAAAGUUAAAACCUUACUAAAACUAGGCAUGAAAAUAAAUUCAAUUUAAAAAAAAAUGAAAUUACUGUUUCACUUAUAAAAUAUAUUAUAUAAAAAUCAAACUUUUAGAAGACUGAAAAUACGAAUUUUCAAACUCUAAAUAUUUUGUUAAUUGUUUUUAUCUUCCUUUAUAAUUAAUGUAAUUGAUUUGUAUUAAGUAAAAUUUAUAUCUAUAUAUAAUUUAAAAAAAAAAAGAUCUACUCUUAAUAAUAUCAUUAACUUCGUGACUUUUAAAUUUUCAUAUUCAUAACCUCCAAUUAUUUAAUUAUAAAAUUUAAGAUAACUUAUGAUGUUCCUCCAUUUUCAUCUAUAUAAAGUCAUAAUAUUUUAUUUCAUGAGACCCAUACUCAAGAAUAUUCUUUUCGUUUUAUAUCUAAAAUAGUGUUCUUUAUAUUAUUAUUUAUAAUAUUAAAUUCAAGCUUAUUAAGAAGACAUUUGAAGGUUGAUUGUUCGUCAAAGAGGCUAUCGGACAAGAGCUUAAAAAAAUUGUAUAUUAAUUUUGUAUUUUUUUUUCCUGUAUUUUCUUAUGGUUAACGUAAAAAAAAAUUAAGUGUGUGUGUGUCAGUGUUCGUGAGUAUGUUCUCUACAUGUAACUUCUAUAUAUGAAUUUUCAUGAUUUUUUUAAUUAUUAUAAACUUUAUAGACUUUUGAAAGGCUGAUCGUUUGUCAAAAAGACUAUCGAACAAUAGCUUAAAAAUUAUGCACUAAUUUUGUAUUUCUUUUUUCGUUCAUUUUCUUAUGGUUAACGUAAAAAUAAUAGGUAUGUGCACGAGUGAGUGUUCAUGGUUAUGUUCUCUGUAUGUAACUUCUAUAAUAUGAACUUUCAUGAUUUUUUAAUUAUUCUAAAUUUUAUAGGCUUUUAAAGGUUGAUCGUUUGUCAAAGAGGCUAUCGAACAAGAGCUUAAAAAAUUGUACACUAAUUUUAUAUUUCUUUUUUCAUCUAUUUUCUCAUAAUUAAUCAAUACUAACUUCAUGAAACUUGACUUUUUUUCUUCUUUUCAAGGAGUACUACUAAUAUUCCUAUAAGAUUUCCAAUCCAUGCAUGCAUAUGCUACAAUUUUUCAUGUUUAAUUAAUUAUUGAGUCUUACAACAUUAAAAAGGGUAAAAAUGUAAAAUACAGUCAAAGGACAUUGCUUUCUAGCCGUUCGAUUUGAUGAUCAAAACAACCGGCGGGGUUUGAUUAGACCGGGUUUUUAAUGAGAUGGACCUUUUUUUUGUUAGUGUUAAUUUUGCUUAGGUAAAGCGGACACGUGCUUUCGAAAGGAAGAGAUUUCGGGCCACGUGCGCACUUUUAAGUAUGUCAUGUUUUACAGCUUGUUUUGUGGAUUAAUGUUACGUAUGUUUUUCUAUCCUAUUUCAUGUAUAUUUUUUUUAUUUUGAUAAAUAUAUAAUGUUUUGAAUAUAAGUAUACUGUUUAUUUUAUUUAUGACAUGAUAAAUUAGAAAAUUGAAAAAUAAAUUUGAUUGGUAAAAGGUAAAUGAGGAAAAAUAAUAAUAAUGUGAUUAUAUCAAAUUGGUUGUAUAAAUUGAAAAUUUUCAUUGUUAUAUCAUGUUAUGAUUAGGCUACAAUUUCAGCUUAUAUUUGUGAAAAAGGUUCAUUUAAUCUAUAUUUAUUGAAUUGAGUCACUAAUGUUUCAAAUGGAUAAAUAUGGAUUUCAUUCAUUUUAAAAGUUUAUAUAAAUAUGGACAAAUAGGUACUCAUUUAAACACAAAGAUCACCCACCAAUGCUUAAAAUUUCAUUUUUUUUCUUUUCUAGUAUCUUUUUUUCUUUUCUUUUUUUUUUUUCCCUUUAAUUUACUUUUUUGCUUUUUCAUUUUUUUAUUCGUUUCAUUAUAAUUUCUUUUUUCUUUCUCAUUUUUUCAUCUAUUUUUUUCUUUGUAUUUUUUUUCGUUUUCCCCUUUCUCGUUUUUAUUUGAUCAUUCAUAUUCGCUUGAGAUCUACACGGGUUAAUUAAUUUGAACUUCUAAUUAUUCCAUUUAGCCUAUACAAUUUAUAGCAUCUUUUAUCAAUUAAAUAUAAUCAUAGUCUCACUCCUUUAUUAUUAUUAUUUUCUAGCUUUUAUUUCUCUUUUUUUUUGUUUUUUCUUUCUUUUUCCUUUAAUUUACUAUUCUUUCUUUCUUUUUUCCUUUAAUUUACUUUUUUUAUUUUUUUCCACUUAUUUUUUUACUUGUUUCUUACACUUUUUUCUUUCUUCUAUUUCAACACUUUUAUCUUUUCAACUUCAAGCCUAGUGUAUUCCCACACAGUGGAAUUUGGGGAGGAUAGGGGAACUAAGAGCCAUAAGCUAUAAGAAAUAAGAAAACGAAAUCUAGAAUAUGGCACCCGCCUAGUAGUAACCUACACUCACAGACCAAGGCCACCCACCACACUCAGUCUCUCCUGACUAGCGGCUCGUACCUAUCGACACAGUCCUACAUUACUACCCCAGCUAAAUAGGGACUCUUCUAAUUACUUGCUACAAUCUAUGUACUCAUCCUAGACUUCUACCCUUAUCCGCGACCUCCAUACCUUCCUGUCUAAGGUCAUGUCCUCGGUAAGCUGAAACUGCUCCAUGUCAUGACUAAAACUGUUGUCUUAGCAGCCGUAACUACUAACUUAGCCUCCUUCUUUGCAACUCUGUAAACCUCCCUAUUCACCCGCUUCUCCUCUUCAUCUUUACUCUCAAUCAACAUGACAUACACCCCCUUCUUAAUAUCCACUUUCUUUUUAACUUUUUCAUUCCACCACCAGUCCCCCUUAUGCCUUCCUGCCUGCCCCCUCGAAACACCCAACACUUCUCUAGCAGUCUCCGUAAUGCAGCUGGUAGCCUUAUCCCAUCUAAUAUCCACGUCCCCCUUAUACUCCCACACCGCCAACCCUGCCACCUUCUUCUCUAUCUCCAGCGCGCUAACUGACGUCAAGCCACCCCACUUAAUUCUAGGUCGACCCUCCCCAACCCUUCUUUUUUUGCUCUUUUUGAUAAUCAAGUCCAUCACCAGAAGCAUGUGCUGAGUCGAAAGAUGCUCACUCGGAAUGACUUUACAGUCCUUACAUAAAACCCUAUCCGCCUUCCUAAGCUGUAUAAAGUCAAUCUGAGUCUUGGCUAUCACGCUUCUGAAAGUAAUCAGGUGAUCUUCCUUCUUCAGAAAGCUCGAAUUCACCACCACCAGCCCAAAAGUUGUCGCAAAAUCAACAGAGCAGCUCCUUUGCCAUUUCUAUCACCAAAAUUAAAACCUCCAUGCACAUCGUCAUAACUUUUCGGAAGAGCCCCAAUGUGCCCAUUAAAGUUUCCCGCAAUGACAAUCUCCUCUGAGCUAGGCACGCUUCUUACCACCUCGUCCAAUGCCUCCCAGAAUCUCACUUUCACCUCCUCUUCCAAACUCACUUGUGGUGCAUAAACACUACACACAUGCAGCAAACCCCCCCAAUGACCAACUUAAUCGUCAUCAGCCUAUCACUGAUCCUCUUAACCUCCACCACCUGCUCUCUAAUCUCCCAAUCCACUAAAAUUCCUACUUCAUUCCGACGUCUUUCACUCUCUGAGUACCACAACUUGGACCUAUCCACAUCCCUAGCCUUAGACCCUACCCACUUAGUCUCCUGAACACACGUAAUGUUAAUCCUCCUCUUCUUAAGAAUCUUCACCAGCUCUACGGACUUACCCUGAAGGGUCCCUAUGUUCCAAGACCCUACC
RNAcentral lists this long non-coding RNA (8629 nucleotides) under Capsicum annuum. RNAcentral's name for it is "long non-coding RNA (CANN_LNC018522)". Lineage: Eukaryota; Viridiplantae; Streptophyta; Magnoliopsida; Solanales; Solanaceae. The record is from RNAcentral.